Molecule: non-coding RNA, 4012 nt
Organism: Bactrocera oleae (olive fruit fly)
Lineage: Eukaryota; Metazoa; Arthropoda; Insecta; Diptera; Tephritidae
Source: RefSeq, a predicted model, not a curated record
UAUUCGCUCUCUCAAAACGCCUACAUCCAAACAGCGCAUUUUGCAACAACAAAAAUGUAAACAAACAAACUUUUUUCGUUGAAAGAGAGUGCAAGCGCAGUGCAUGCAACAAUUUUCCUUUGUGUUAUUUCGCAAAUUUGACGUUUUUCAUUCUAUCUGACAUACACAACGACCGAAUAACUCCAUUGCAAGUCAAAAAAGCGCAAAUUCAGUGGAGCAGCUUAGAGAAAAAGUCAAAUUGAUUGUGCUAUUGGUAUUCGUGGAGGACAGUGCAAUCGGUUUUGGCAAGAGCCACCAAGUAAGGAAAUUGCAAGUAUGCUGAAUUUUUUCAAAGACGUAAUGGCUCCUACAACGCGUAGCGCUAAAUCGGAAGAUAAUAAAGAUGGCGGUGUCUGUGGUAAAAUUGGAAUCAAUGAAAAUUGUGUCAAGCAAACUACAGUGCCUCCACCAAUUAAAGGCUACAAAAUAACAGACAACGAACGUUCUAAAAAAUACGGCAUUGGCGCUAAUUCACUACAGAUGCUAAAGGAUAAGGCGAAACUAAAGUUUCCUAUUAAAGACUUAAGGUUAUAUAUUUCUACUGAUGGCUUUGAAGUAUCUGACGAUGAUUACUUUCAAACAUUGGCGUCUCAAACACUUUUCAUUGUGGCUGGGCCGGAUGAGAUUAUAACUACAGAUGCCGACUUUGAAUUCGAAAAAUUGCGCCAAAACUCACCCUUACUUCGUGUUGCCGAUAUCAUUUAUGAAUUUAUUGAACAAAAUCCCGAACAAUUUCGCAAAAUGAUAACAGAUUAUGAAAAUCGUAAGAUUUGUCGUCAGCAAGCGCUAGAUAGCAACAAACAGGCAUACCAAGGCAAAACCGAACUUAGUUUGCGUACACAACACCGCGAAUGGUUUGAGGGACAAGAGGAACGUUGCCAUUCCAAGGAAGAGGCCAUGGCGCGUCGUGCGCAAGAUCGUAUGCGUAGCUACUACUACAAAACGAAGGAGGAACUGACGCGCAAUAAACUGUAUCGACAAAAUCUAAAAGCACGCCACAUAAUCGAUGCUGUACUAGAGCAAUUUCGCUAUUUGCUAAUCGGUUGUGAUUACUUCUCCAUGCUAUUCGAUCGCAAGUGUCCGAAAAAGCAUGCAAUUCUGCAACAACAACUCGACGAUGAAACAGAUGCUAGCGCAAUGCUUCCAAAUAAACGUCUGCGUCAGGUCAUCAAAGAGUAUACGGCGCGCCAUAAAAUACUAGACGAAUGGUCGGUGUCGCUCUGCACUGAACUGGGCGAUUUCUACUGUCAAGGCAGCUACUCGGAUAACGGCAAUUGUUGCACGCUCAAACACACCAUCAAUCCAUAUGCAUCGCGUGAGAAUUUAAUACUCUUCCAGGUUUGGAAUUUAGAUCAUCAAAUCGAGUUAUCGCGUUCCAUAUUGCCCGCUUUAAUUGAGAAUGUGCGCGAUCUAGUAGAGCACCCGCAAUGCAAAUGCACGCUACACAAUAAGCGCGUUAUUGACAUAUCUGUGUUGGAAUACUUUUUGGAAAUUUUCUCCUUGAAAAAUCUAAAACUGGUGCACAUCGUCUGUCAUGAUAAAACACAGCGCUCAAACAAAUCCAAUGGUCGCUUGGUGUGUGAACAAUGUCAUGAGUACAAAAUCGUGCAGGAAUUAAUGGGUGUGCGUAAUCAGGAGGAUGAAGUGUCUGCAACGAGUUAAAGAAUUUCAAGUGUGUGAUUGGUCGAAGAUAAAGAAAACGUUUCAUAUAUGUUUUUAAGGUUAUAUCAACGACUAAAAGAGUACAAUACAUGUGAGCGAAAUUGCUUUUAAUGCAAGCUUUAUAUGUUAUUCGUACUAUUUAAUAUUUUUGUAAAUCCAUGGCAAUAAUGAGGUGAUUCUCGUAUACACGCCCGGAUAUUCGCCUUUGCCACAGCCAAUGCCCCACGACACGAUGCCGACCUGUGUAUAGCGUCCGCCCUCAUUGACGAUCAAAGGACCGCCAGAGUCACCCUGAAAGAGCUGUUUUUUUACGACGCGAGUUUCUCUGUUUCUCUGGAGAUUUUUACCAUGAAACAAAUUUGAACAACGAGUUUGCUUGAAAAUGUGUGUUCCCAAUGGAAUCGUUAAAAAUUUUGCAAAAGUGUUUUAAUGUGUCACUUUAUCACGUCCAAAAGUAUUUGAGUGGCGCAAAGCGUUCAACAAAAGUCGUGCAGUCAUCAAAAACUAGGCUCAUACGACUCAUCCAUCCAACUCUGUUAAUGACGGCAAUAUCGAAAAAGUUAAAAAAUAAUUUAAAAUCGUCGUAUUGGCAUCAGAGGGAUAUUAGAGGAUCGUAACAUCUCUUUUGGACCGACUCAAUACUUUGUGGUUAAUGUUUUGGGUGAGCGUGUACCAAAAGAUCUGAAUGGCCGUCACAUUCUAGCGUGACCGUAUUCGACACAUAUGGCUCCCUGUGACCUUUUUCUGUUUUACAAAAAAAAAACAGAAAAUCCGCUUCGGAAAACGCUCCAUGAUUCCAGAAUUCUUAAAACGAGAAUAAGUGGCGUUGGAAGCAUCCACACAAGCAAACAUUUAGGUACACAAUACAUAAGUGACCUCAAGCAACCUCCAGGAAUUCAUAUACAGGUAUACCUAGGCACUGUAUACAAUAAAAAUUUACCAAAAGUGCUAAAUUAUUGACAAGAAAACGCUAAAGACCGCAAGUAACAGCAUAAAAUUUAAAAAAAUGUUAUUUAAACUCUUAAACAUGAAUACACACGCACAUAAAAGAAUUGAUAUUGUGUCUUAUGUGCAUAAAAAGUUCGGUGCUAUUGAAAUAAACAUAGAAAAAAAGAAAACAAAAUUAGAAAAGCAAGAUGGCGUAACCAAUCCACCUAAACGCAUUAAAGUUGAGGCUCUAAAGUUUAAGACGUCAGAUAUCAAUAGUUCAAAAAAAUAUGCAAUUAUCGUUGGUAGAAAAACCGAACACAAAAUAAAAAAUAAACCGCUAGACAUGCCGAAACUCUCUUCACCGUCGCCAAAACCUCAGCAACCAAUGGUUGAACUAAACAUUCAACGAAUAGAACCACUGGGCCUUCUGAGUUAAGAAAGUACUUGGAGGAUAUUGUGUUUAAUAAAAUGUCUGAUCAACUAAAAUGUAAAUUAAUAUACAAAAUAACAAAAUGUGAGUCAAGUAUGAUAAAUCGACUCUUAAAUAAUAUAAAACUUGGACCAGCCAGUAAGGAAACCGCAAUCAAAAAACACGAAGGAAGAUACGUUAAACCAGAUUCAAAGAAAGCGAUAGAUAAAAGGAAAAUUAAUAAGAUGAUAACAACACGCUUGUCACCAGAUAUCGCAAAAGCAAAAAUAGAAACUCCUUCACCAGCCGACGUCAAACGAAUGCAACAGGCAGUGCAAGCUCCAACCCUUAAUAUACACAACAACAAAUUACCCAAUGCACAGGCUUUACAUAAAUUUCCAUUUGUUGUAAUACCACGUCCAUCGCCAUUGUUGCGUAGUAAAUUGUUGGAGCACCAAUUGAACAACAAACCGAAAAGCAACAUGUACGCAGUGAAAAAAGUAAAUCCACAGCAAUAUGUGGUUGUAUCAACCAGGCUUAAUCAGGCGCAAUUAAGUUUUACAGAGUCGUAAAAAAAUUACAACAAAUUUAAUAUCUAAAAAAUAUAUAAUUAAUAUAUAUUACUAUGUAUUAUUAGGUAUGUGUGUAUGUAAGUAUAUAUGUAUGUACAUUUAAAAAAUUAAAACUUUAAUAUAGAAACUAUUUUAAAAUUGUCGUACCUACUAUUCAUGUUAUAAGUUAAAUAAAGUGUUCCCAGAGAAUGUUAAUAAAUAUUUAAUAAAAAUUUAAAUAAAUAUACAAUAAAAAUUUAAAUAAAUAUAUAAUAAAAAUUUAAAUAAAUAUAUAAUUGUUUAACAUUCUCAGCAUCUGCGCCUUUUCUAUUUAUUAACAUACUCUGCUUCAAACAAUGUCAACAGAUUUCUGUAAUGUAAAUGUCAAAAAAAAUAAAAUAUACCAAAAUGCGAACAUUAA